Vicugna pacos (alpaca) is the source of this 2278-nucleotide non-coding RNA. NCBI's taxonomy places the organism in Eukaryota, Metazoa, Chordata, Mammalia, Artiodactyla, Camelidae. The record is from RefSeq and is a predicted model, not a curated record.
CCUGACUCCAGGCUGUCGGAAGCUUCUCAGAGAAGAGUGUGCCUUCUAACGUGAGGAGAAUCAGAGUUGGAUUAGGGAUCCCCAAACUUUGAUCAUCGUCAUCACCGGGAGUGCUUUUUUAAAGGUGCUGUUGUAACCCCAUCUCACACAUGAGGAAAUAGCUAUGCAAACACCAUCUGGUUUCUCAGUGAGCACAGAGGAAGGACCACCAGUGGCCUGGGAUGGACAAGAAGAGGUUCAGGACGAGAUGGGAAUUUUGCCAAGACUUGCGGGGUGAAGAUAGGUUAGAUGAAGACAAAAUGGAACAGGAUGAUGCCUGGCAGAAAGAAGGAUUACCAGUCUACUUGAGAAGAUGGGAAGGAAUCAAGAUGUCUUUUGGAAGCCAGUGAUGGGAGACCCUCUGGAGAGCCACAAAAGAACAAUUUGUUCAUCCAGCAUGGAGAGCAGUGUCGGAAGAAUUGAUUUAUGUUUCGGCAUCUCGGUAGAAGAAGAGAAAGCAGCCCAGGAAACGAAGGCAGAAAGUUCCGGGCCUCCCUCAUCAUUAAUGGGAUUGUGCAACGUCUGAGGGUUGACCUCACCUCUGAGGGUCUCCAUUUUCCUGUCCUGCACAUGAAGAUUACACGCAUGCCUCAGUCUACUCAGGGAGGAUGGAAGUGAUGGACACGGCUAGUGCUUCAUGAAAGCUCUUUUAGCAUUUGGAAGGCGGAGAUGUUGCAUAGAUACAAGGUGUUCUUAUAGAAGGAUAAUCAUUUCUCUUGGGCAAUCGUCAUGACACCGGGAAAACUUAUCUUCUAUUACAGUUCAAAAGCAGAAAAGAAUUUUUUUUUUCCAGUAGAACCAUCAUCACCUCAGCGAUGUUUUGGAAGAUGUAAUAGGAAAAUUCCCAAUGACCUUUAAGAGCAAGGUUAAGAGCUACCUGCACGUGGUUCCUCCUCCCCUUCACAGUGGUUAAGAGUCCUGACGGAUUGUCUUUCUGGCUACUUAUUAGAUGUCAAAACGGUAAGUGGGAAUUGGAUACCCUGUGAACUGGACUGUUGACAAGAGACCCUGUGAAUUUUCAAAGGCAGGUGUUGAUUGGAAAUUUGCGUGGGUUCCCAGCUAGUCUUGUAUACAGAGCCGUCCUGUUCUUCUAGCUAAACGAGGAGAAGCACUUCAACGUUCCCAUUGAUAAAAUGUCUCGCUCUCUGCUUGUAAAAUGUUCUGUGGCUUCUUGGUCAACUGAGUUGAAUAACGACAGGUGUGCGGGGCCACACACGAGCGGAGAUGCGGGAAAGCCUCACUUGCCUGAAUGCGAAGCUGUUUGCAGAGAGAUGGGGAAAGUAAUGUUUGCGUGGGAGAGCUGGAGUCUGCGGGCUUGUGUGUCUUUCCUGUUGGGUUGGAGUGCUGGUAGCUUUUGGUUUCUGUCAAACUAUGCAGCUGAAACCCACGCACUCAAGACAACUCAUGUAGGACUGGAGACAAACUCUAUCCUGUGACUCAGGCUCUUUGUCAAUUUUCGCCACCCACUGUGAGGGCCCCAGUGGACUGCUGAGUACAGACGUGUAUUCUGAUACACGUGUAUUCCUGCCUUCAAAACUUUCCAGCCGUUGCCGACGCUCCACUCAUGGGGCAGUCACUCUGUAAACAUUUGUUAUUUUAUCUUUCUCUUUUUCUCCUCUUUUCUCUCUCUCUCUUUUUAAAUUGAAAUAUACUUGACAUACAAUAUCAUUAGUUUCAGGUGUACUGCGUAAUGGUUUGAUAUUUAUGUACAUUACGAAAUGAUCACUAUGGUAAAUCGAGUAAACAUCUGUCUUUAUAUAAAAUUAGUACAAUAUUACUGACCACAUUCCUCAGGCUGCAUGUUACCCACCCCCAUGAAUGUUUACUAUAUAACUGUAGAUUUGUACCUCAAUCCCUAUCACUUAUUUCAUCCAUCCCCCUCCCUUCCGGCAAGGUGGACAUUCUUGGUCUUCCUUAGAGUAAAACAUGCAAGGAUGGCCUCGUCUUCUCUGCUCUCUUUCUCCCCGUGUGUUCAUUACUAUGAGUGCAAGUUUACAUACAAAUCCCCAGUUUAAGCAGCUCCACAUAACCAUCAGCAGAUCUGCAAAAAGCCCUCAACCAAGUCUAUGCUCUUUCUGACCACUUUUUUGUUUUUCUUUUUUAAUCUCCUCUGGAGAAGACAGGCAAUCAGGAUGACUAAAAGCUGCCUUGGAAGUUAAGCAAAUGAAAAGUGAAUUAAUACCCUGACUAGCCAACCCCAAAGCAGAUCAAGAUGGAAAAAUUCCAUAGUUAUACCAUU